RNAcentral lists this ribosomal RNA (494 nucleotides) under uncultured bacterium. RNAcentral's name for it is "partial 16S ribosomal RNA". It matches the Rfam family "Bacterial small subunit ribosomal RNA", at positions 28 to 507 of the family's 1533-position model. The record is from RNAcentral.
GACGAACGCUGGCGGCGUGCUUAACACAUGCAAGUCGAACGGUGAAGCGCCUUCCUUUUUGGUGGGUGUGGAUGAGUGGCGAACGGGUGAGUAACACGUGAGUAACCUGCCCCCUUCUUCUGGAUAACCGCAUGAAAGUGUGGCUAAUACGGGAUAUUCUGGGUCUGUCGCAUGAUGGGUCUGGGAAAGAUAUUGUUUCGGUGGGGGAUGGUCUCGCGGCCUAUCAGCUUGUUGGUGGGGUGAUGGCCUACCAAGGCGGUGACGGGUAGCCGGCCUGAGAGGGUGGACGGUCACACUGGGACUGAGACACGGCCCAGACUCCUACGGGAGGCAGCAGUGGGGAAUAUUGAACAAUGGGCGCAAGCCUGAUGCAGCGACGCCGCGUGAGGGAUGGAGGCCUUCGGGUUGUGAACCUCUUUCGCCAGUGAAGCAGGCCUGCCUCGUUUGUGGGUGGGUUGACGGUAGCUGGAUAAGAAGCGCCGGCUAACUACGUG